RNAcentral lists this ribosomal RNA (443 nucleotides) under uncultured bacterium. Its description in RNAcentral is "partial 16S ribosomal RNA". It matches the Rfam family "Bacterial small subunit ribosomal RNA", at positions 338 to 795 of the family's 1533-position model. The record is from RNAcentral.
CCUACGGGAGGCUGCAGUGGGGAAUAUUGGGCAAUGGGCGCAAGCCUGACCCAGCAACGCCGCGUGAAGGAAGAAGGCUUUCGGGUUGUAAACUUCUUUUCUCAGGGACGAAGAAAGUGACGGUACCUGUUUAGAAAGCUCCGGCUAACUACGUGCCAGCAGCCGCGGUAAUACGUAGGGAGCAAGCGUUGUCCGGAAUUACUGGGCGUAAAGGGCGCGUAGGUGGGCGCUUAAGUCAGGUGUGAAAACUCCGGGCUCAACCUGGAGACUGCACUUGAAACUGGGUGUCUUGAGGGCAGGAGAGGAAAGUGGAAUUCCUAGUGUAGCGGUGAAAUGCGGAGAUAUUAGGAGGAACACCAGUGGCGAAGGCGACUUUCUGGACUGUACCUGACGCUGAGGCGCGAAAGCGUGGGUAGCGAACGGGAUUAGAUACCCUUGUAGUC